GCAGGCUAGAUGUUGGCUGCUGAUAAUGAGCACUGUUGGAUCUAAUAGAGGCAAAGCCAAUUUAGACUCACUCAGUGGCCGUCUGAUAUUACCACUUCAACCAGAUUGAUGAGAAUGUAGAGUUGCUGGUGUAUCAGCAUUUAAAGAUGUCGGGCUCCGAAGUCUAGACUGGCUUUAAAGAAAAACACUUUUGAGAGAGAAAUUGACAAACAGGACAUUUAAUUCAAGUGCAGCUUCGACAAGACUACAGAAGCAUAGUAAUUGCAACAAGGCUCUUCUGUGUGACAUCAAUCAGAACACAAGAGAGGAAAGAGAAAGAGGAGAACACCCCCGCAUCCAUCCAGGAGAAGCUGCAGGAAUCUGUCAGGACAAUUUCAGAAUGGGGUACACAAUGAAACGGUGUGGUGUCUCAGGCACAGUUAGACCUGAGCUGGGCUAUAUGUUUUCCAGCAAAUGACUUAUCUCCAAAACUAUUUAAAUGUGAAUCAUAUAGAUAUACAAAGCCUGAGAGGAAGUUCAUGCUGUGGGGAAGGAAAUAAAACAAUCUUUUUUUUUCACCCUCAGAUGUGACAAAAUCAAUGACCCCACAUACUGUAGCAAUUUCUAAUGAAAUGAAACACACACAUGGUUGUUUUUAAUCCUCUCUUGGUCUAAAUAUUGGCAUAAAGCACACUUUAGCUCCCUUUUCAGUAACUAUAACAACUCAAUUCCUAAUGCUAACCUUAACCCAGUUUUCAUGCUCAGAAAAUCAACUGGACUUGUGGGGUCCAUCAUUUUGGCCACCACAAUGGUGUCAGACUCCAUUAGUAAAGUGAGCUGCUAGAUUUCAGCCUCUACAAAUGCAGAAAAACAAAAUCACAUCACUUAUAGACACACAACUAAGCAGGUGAAGAGAUUUACAUCAUUAUUUUAUUUUUUUUUUUACCUUGCUUCCUGUUUCUUUUAAAUGAUUUGUUGUUGUGCUCUUGUUUCAGUUCUACUCCUGCCAGGUGUUCAGUUUUAUGCCAAUUUUUCCUCAACACCAGAGUUGUGCUUAUUCUGCCAGAUUACCUUCGGACUUAUGCAUAGAGUUGCUGACUACCUGCAUGAGCAUGACCACUAAAUUAAAUAAAGGUUUGGCCUUUUUCUGGAUUAUAUCUCUGCAUGUGCGUCAUUACUUUGAUGAACAUUCACACACACACACACACACACACACACACGUACACACACACACACACACACACACACACACACACACACACACACACACACACACACACACACACACACACACACACACACACACACACACACACACAGUACUUUUUGCAACUAGUACACAAGUUCUGCACAAAUAAAGAUGAAGAUACAACCAAAGGAGAUAAUCAAGACCCAACAGUGGACGCAAAUAUGUUCUCAUUAAACUUCAGCUGAAGUUUAUCAAAUAGCAUUUUUCUCCCCUUGGCAAAUCCAGUUAUGCUCUUGAUCUGUGGCAGCAAACUAGUGAUAAGUACUCGGCUCUUUCAUGAUAAAGACUCCAUUAGGGAGCUCUGAGCUUGAGGAGGGGGAAGAUGAUAACUCCAUGUUCCUAAACAACAGCCAGACUUUAUCUCUCAAUGCCUUCCUGUACAGGAUGUCCCAUUUGGCUCACAGGCAGUAUAACAUGGAAAGUGCCACAAAUUAGUACUUUUGAGUCAACACAGAGCAUUUAUAGUCUUUAUACUUAUAUUAGCUUAAUAAAUUUGUUUCAUUUUUAGUGUGUUUGGAGUUACUGGAGCAAUGGCUAUCUCAGUGUUAAAUCCCUAUAGUGGUUGUGACGACACACUGCUGGAGCUGUUCCUCUACCUAGCUGAAAAAACUGUCUGUUUUUAAGAAAAAACUCUGCAAUUUCUUUUUUGUAAAAGAAGACACAUCACCCUGCAGAUCACCCCAUGCAUAUCCAGCAUCUGAAUGCAAAAUUUGAGACCUAACACAUAUCCCAGCAGCACACCCACAUGCACACCACAAUGAAUACUAUCUUGUUUUCUGCACUGUGCCCAUACAGAAGCGUACAAAUAUUCAAAUGCAUUUGGCAUUUUCACCACGACUUUUAGAUGAAUUAUUCAGACCUAAUCUUCAGAGGGUGGCAUGAAUUGAACAUACAGUGCAUUGCUCAGAUGCUGGCCAUCUCUGUCUGCUCUGCUUUGUGUUAUGUUGAAUGAUAAACACAUGAAAAGUUAGCCUCUUUGACCUGCCUCUCAUUAACUUCUAAUAUGCGUGGAAUGUCUGAUCAAUAAAAAUCUGAGCAGCACCGUAAGGGGGAGGCAGGUUGACUAUAAUCAAAAAAGAUGACCCCCAGCCUUUCUCUUUUUCACUCAGUCUGUCUCUGUCUUUUCAUUAAUAAUAUCUAUAGCCCUUUAAGCCCUUCAUGAGUGUUGGUGGAGUGUCUUGAAGCUCUCUAAUCCCUGCAUUGCUCUUUAUUCUGCCCAUGACACUCAUCCCCUGUGUGUCACAUCCUGAAACCCUGUUAAUCCCCCGGUGGCAUUGCACAAGGGGCCCCAGCUGUCGAAUCCCUUGCUGCAGUGCUUCUUGCCCAUCUAAUUUGUGGCCCUGCUUGGAAUGCUAUUCAUGUCAUCCAGCCCCAUCCUGUCCAGUAACUUUUUAAAUUCUACCUCUCUUUCAAACAACUGCCUUUCUCUCUUGUAUUCUCACUUUGCCUGAUGAUGAAACUCCCGGCUGGCACCAACUGAAGCUUUUGUUCCCUCUGUUGUAUUAAGAGUCAAUGUCCUUUUCCUCUGUGCCUGCACAUUACAAAUCUGCCACAGCAACCUUCCUCCUUUUUACUGAAGGCUGAAUGGAUGUUCAGUAGAGCAGGUUGAGAUAAAUGCUGCACAGAGGGCAAUUUGGACUGAGCAGCUAAGAGCACACAGACUAAGCAUUUGAAUGAUGGCACAUUAAGAAUACUCAUGUUCAAUUAAGAGUGUGCAACAAUGCAUCAGUAUGCAGGGCAACUUUCCCCAAGUUAUUUUAAUGAGAGGAAGGAGGUAGGAAGGAGCAGAGAGGAAGGGGAAGGGUGGUAGGUAGAUGAUGUGAGGGAAUGAUUAGUAGAGUUUCUUUCUUUCUAACCUGUUUUGUGCAGUUCAGCGGAGCAGCGGAUUGCAGAGAGAUUUUAGACAUCCCUGCUCUUAGUUGGUUGGAGUAAUUGAACCGGCAAUACUAGCAACAAAAACAAAAAACAAAAACAAAAUAAAUGCAAAAGCAGUUUUCAAAACAACAACAACAAAAAAA
Molecule: long non-coding RNA, 3246 nt
Organism: Melanotaenia boesemani (Boeseman's rainbowfish)
Lineage: Eukaryota; Metazoa; Chordata; Actinopteri; Atheriniformes; Melanotaeniidae
Exons: 3
Source: RefSeq, a predicted model, not a curated record